RNAcentral lists this ribosomal RNA (1528 nucleotides) under Draconibacterium halophilum. RNAcentral describes it as "bacterial SSU rRNA". It matches the Rfam family "Bacterial small subunit ribosomal RNA". The record is from RNAcentral. Lineage: Bacteria; Pseudomonadati; Bacteroidota; Bacteroidia; Marinilabiliales; Prolixibacteraceae.
UACAACGGAGAGUUUGAUCCUGGCUCAGGAUGAACGCUAGCGGGAGGCCUAACACAUGCAAGUCGAGGGGUAACAGUGGUGCUUGCACCAGCUGACGACCGGCGCACGGGUGCGUAACGCGUAUGCAACCUUCCUUGUACAGAGAGAUAGCCCAUGGAAACGUGGAUUAAUAUCUCAUAGUAUCACAAUUUCGCAUGUUAUUGUGAUUAAAGUUUCGGCGGUACAAGAUGGGCAUGCGUAUGAUUAGCUAGUUGGCGAGGUAAAGGCUCACCAAGGCAACGAUCAUUAGGGGUUCUGAGAGGAUUAUCCCCCACACUGGUACUGAGACACGGACCAGACUCCUACGGGAGGCAGCAGUGAGGAAUAUUGGUCAAUGGGCGCAAGCCUGAACCAGCCAUCCCGCGUGCAGGAUGACGGCCCUAUGGGUUGUAAACUGCUUUUGUUUGCCAAGAAAGGACGCUACGUGUAGCGUAUUGACGGUAGCAAAUGAAUAAGGACCGGCUAACUCCGUGCCAGCAGCCGCGGUAAUACGGAGGGUCCAAGCGUUAUCCGGAUUUAUUGGGUUUAAAGGGUGCGCAGGCGGAUCUUUAAGUCAGUGGUGAAAUCUUGCCGCUUAACGGUAAAAUUGCCAUUGAUACUGAAGAUCUUGAAUGUAGUUGAGGUAGGCGGAAUGUGUUGUGUAGCGGUGAAAUGCAUAGAUAUGACACAGAACGCCAAUUGCGAAGGCAGCUUACUAAGCUACGAUUGACGCUGAGGCACGAAAGCGUGGGGAGCGAACAGGAUUAGAUACCCUGGUAGUCCACGCCGUAAACGAUGAUCACUCGCUGUCUGCGAUACACUGUAGGCGGCUGAGCGAAAGCAUUAAGUGAUCCACCUGGGGAGUACGAUCGCAAGGUUGAAACUCAAAGGAAUUGACGGGGGCCCGCACAAGCGGAGGAACAUGUGGUUUAAUUCGAUGAUACGCGAGGAACCUUACCUGGGCUUAAAUGUAGACUGCAUAAGGUAGAAAUACUUUUUCCCUUCGGGGCUGUUUACAAGGUGCUGCAUGGUUGUCGUCAGCUCGUGCCGUGAGGUGUCGGGUUAAGUCCCAUAACGAGCGCAACCCCUAUCGUUAGUUGCUAGCAGGUAAUGCUGAGGACUCUAGCGAGACUGCCACCGUAAGGUGAGAGGAAGGUGGGGAUGACGUCAAAUCAGCACGGCCCUUAUGUCCAGGGCUACACACGUGUUACAAUGGUCGGUACAAAGGGCAGCUACCAGGCAACUGGAUGCCAAUCCCUAAAGCCGAUCCCAGUUCGGAUUGGAGUCUGCAACCCGACUCCAUGAAGUUGGAUUCGCUAGUAAUCGGAUAUCAGCCAUGAUCCGGUGAAUACGUUCCCGGGCCUUGUACACACCGCCCGUCAAACCAUGGAAGCUGGGGGUACCUGAAGUAUGUGACCGCAAGGAGCGUCCUAGGGUAAAACUGGUAACUGGGGUUAAGUCGUAACAAGGUAGCCGUACCGGAAGGUGUGGCUGGAACACCUCCUUUCUG